UACGGGAGGCAGCAGUGGGGAAUAUUGCACAAUGGGCGCAAGCCUGAUGCAGCCAUGCCGCGUGUAUGAAGAAGGCCUUCGGGUUGUAAAGUACUUUCAGUCGUGAGGAAGGUGUUAAGGUUAAUAACCUUAGCAAUUGACGUUAGCGACAGAAGAAGCACCGGCUAACUCCGUGCCAGCAGCCGCGGUAAUACGGAGGGUGCGAGCGUUAAUCGGAAUUACUGGGCGUAAAGGGCACGCAGGCGGUUAAUUAAGUUGGAUGUGAAAUCCCCGGGCUUAACCUGGGAAUGGCAUUCAAGACUGGUUAGCUAGAGUCUUGUAGAGGGGGGUUAGAAUUCCAUGUGUAGCGGUGAAAUGCGUAGAGAUGUGGAGGAAUACCGGUGGCGAAGGCGGCCCCUGGGACAAAGGACUGACGCUCAUGUGCGAAAGCGUGGGGAGCAAAC
This 443-nucleotide ribosomal RNA is filed under the name uncultured bacterium. RNAcentral's name for it is "bacterial SSU rRNA". It matches the Rfam family "Bacterial small subunit ribosomal RNA", at positions 340 to 773 of the family's 1533-position model. The record is from RNAcentral.